UACAGAGGUCUCAAGCGUUGUUCGGAUUCAUUGGGCGUAAAGCGCGCGUAGGCGGCUCGGAAAGUCGGUCGUGAAAUGCCGGGGCUCAACCCCGGGACUGCGUCCGAUACUCCCGAGCUGGAGGCAGGUAGGGGAGAUCGGAAUUCCUGGUGUAGCGGUGAAAUGCGCAGAUAUCAGGAGGAACACCUGCGGCGAAGGCGGGUUGCUGGGCCGACACUGACGCUGAGGCGCGAAAGCCAGGGGAGCGAACGGG
This 253-nucleotide ribosomal RNA is filed under the name uncultured bacterium. RNAcentral's name for it is "partial 16S ribosomal RNA". It matches the Rfam family "Bacterial small subunit ribosomal RNA", at positions 524 to 776 of the family's 1533-position model. The record is from RNAcentral.